This is a small nuclear RNA of Melitaea cinxia (Glanville fritillary), 114 nucleotides long. RefSeq annotates it as U5 spliceosomal RNA. The record is from RefSeq and is a predicted model, not a curated record. Lineage: Eukaryota; Metazoa; Arthropoda; Insecta; Lepidoptera; Nymphalidae. The transcript has a single exon.
UUACUCUAGUUUCCCUUCAAAACGCAUAAAUCUUUCACAUUUUACUAAAGAUAUCCGUGAAGGGAACACUCAAUCAAUCAAGAUUUCUGUAAUCAUAGUAAUCUCAAUUGAACU